AAAUAAUCAAUCGGAGGCCCUCUAAUAGCCCUGAACGAUUGAACCUAGAGCUCAACAUCUAUCAAUCUCACUCUCUGCCGGAGUCACUCCGCGUGACCUGUCCGGCCUUCUGCACAUAAGUCGGAACCACCUAAUGUAGUCUGAACGACUCAUGGUAAUAUUCGCUCUAGUGCUUCUCUCAUCAAUCAUCUGUAUAUAAUAACCUAAGGUCACCCACCAGUCAUAAUCUCACUAACACUCUACGACUGGCCCGUCGUACCCACUCCGCGUGGACUGUACGACCAGCAUCUACUUGGAUCCAAGGCGAGCGUGCGAUGCGGUGAAUACUAUAAGCACUAAACCAUGGUGCAGGAUAUGAGCUCAAUAUAUCAUCAUCAUCAUCAUAAUAUUAAUUAAAUACUUACCUGUGCUUCCACAACACCAUCAUACAUAUAUGCAUCAUACGACAGUUCAUAAUAUCCAUAAUAUUCUAUGCAUGGCAAUCACAUCAUAUUUCAUUUCAAUAUACUUUUCAUUUAAAUUUGAUUUCUGGGGAAAUCGAGUAUAUAGGUAUAUAUAUAGAAAGCAAUGCCCACUCACUGGUAUGUCGCCGGGUCGUAACCCCCUUGACGCCCCUGGAUGUGCUCGUCCUCGUUAAAAGUUCCACCUAGAAGUGAAAUAACUUAAAACAAUCAUUUAACGCACAUUUAACGCACCUAAACCAAACUAGGUAAUUAAUUCUUCAUACGAUGCUCAAAUUGGGUAUAUGAAUAUACCACAGUGACCUACACAACCUCAGGAUCACUCCCAAAUUUUUAAAAUAAUUUUUGUAGGUCUCACGCGCCCCCACGCGCCUGACGUGGCACGGACCUACGCGCGGCCCAUGCGCGGCCACGUGACAUGCACACUGACGGCUACAGUGAACGGCGUUAGAGAAUAUUCCGUCAAAUCCUAGUAUAUUCCGUUAAAAACUAACGGUUUCCGUUAAAGUUAACUAACGGCGUCGGAAUAUUCCGUCAAACUUGACGGAAGAUUCCCUGUCUUCUCCGGCGAGUCGCCGGUUUCUGGAAAAAUUUCAAAUCCACUAUUCUCCUUCGUUUUUCAACCAAUUUCUUCGAAUUUUAUACCAAAAUGAAGCAUUUAACAUGUACUAUCACGUUGGAAGGGUUUUAGGGCCUAAAAACAACUAGAUCAUACCUUCCAAAAUUCCUCAAAUUCGGCCAAACUCGAACCCAACGAUCCCGACGUCCAUUUUGUUCAAACGAGGCACUCCGAGCCUCCUUAGGACUUCCUAAGACUCGUGGUGAUCUUGCUUUAGCCUAAAACACAACGAAAUUUAAGUUCAUGAACAGUAGCAAUUUCGGAGCUUAAGUUUUCUACAUGGAAUCGUGGGAAAUCUUACCUGAAAAUAAUAUCAAUGUGUUCGUAUGGUCCUUACGAACACGAUGCUACCUUCCUCAACCUUAACUUGUGAAGUUUUCAAGGUCUUGGGUGUUUGUCCGAGAGUUUGAGAGAGAAUGAGAGUAAGAGAGAGGGAAUGAGUGUUUCUGAAAUGAAGAAAGAGAAAGAGAGUGACUAGGGAGAUGAGAGAGACAACAAAAACGGGUUUUGGGGAGGGAUUUAGGGGGUAGGACCCCACCCUAAGUCCAAACACAAAUUAAAAUUAACACAUACUAAUAUAAUUCUAACCCUAGUUUAGGAUCUUAGUGUAAAACAAAAUACCAAAUUUACGCACCUUAAUCCCGUUUAAGGGCGUUUCUGUAAUUUCACGUCCUCGGUAUUUAGUAAUUCUGGGACGGGCUGUGACAAUCUCCCCUCCUUAUAGAAUUUCGUCCCCGAAAUUCCAAUCACUAACCAGAACAUCAAAAGUCAUAGAAUAACCUCGGAUACAUAUCUCUCAUUCGUUCUUCUGUUUCCCAUGUAGCUUCUUCAGCUGAAUGGUUUCUCCACAAUACUUUUACCAAGCUCACGGUCUUAUUCCUCAAAGUCUUAUCUUUCCAAUCCAGUAUAGUCACUGGUUUCUCAUCAUACGUCAAAUCCGGAUUAAUUUCCAAUGGUUGAGGAGGAAUCACAUGUGAAGGAUCUGACACAUAAUGCCGAAGCAUCGAGACAUGGAACACAUUAUGUACCUUAGACAACUCUGGAGGUAGCUCCAACCUGUAAGCAACUUCACCAAUCCUCUCAGUGAUCUCAUAAGGUCCAAUGUACCUGGGACUUAGCUUUCCUUUCUUUCCAAAGCGAACCACCCUCUCCAAGGCGAUAAUUUUCAGAAAAACAUAGUCGCCCACAUUAUACAUUCUGUCCGUGGUAUGUCGAUCCGCUAGGCUCUUUUGUCUAUCCUGGGCCACUUUCAGGUUAGAUUUAAUUACCUGAAUAUUCUGAGUAGUCUCAUCCACAAUCUCUGGCCCUUCAAGUAUUCUUUCACCAACCUCUGACCAACAUAAUGGCGUACGACAAGCUUUACCAUAAAGUGCUUCAAAUGGAGACAUUCCAAUACUCGAAUGAAAACUAUUAUUGUAGGCAAACUCCAUCAAAUCCAAGCGAUCAUGCCAAGAAUCACCAAAUUGCAUCACAGAGGAUCUCAACAUAUCCUCGAGUGUCUGAAUAGUUCUCUCUGACUGACCAUCUGUCUGUGGAUGAUAAGCUGUACUGUAAAGCAAUCUAGUACCCAAAGCUUCUUGAAAAGCUAUCCAAAACUUAGAAGUAAAUCUUGGAUCUCGAUCAGAAAUAAUAUUCACUGGGACACCAUGAUACUUUACAAUCUUCGAUAGGAAUAACUGAGCCAACUUAUUUAAAGAGUAUUUCUCCCUUACUGGAAUAAAAUGUGCUGAUUUGGUAAGUCGAUCUACAACCACCCAAAUGCCAUCAAAACCAUUUUGUGUACGUGGCAGCUUAUACACAAAAUCCAUCGUUAUAUUCUCCCAUUUCCACUGGGGAACGGGAAGUGGUUGCAAUCUCCCAAACGGCUUCUUUCUUUCAGCCUUAACCUGCUGGCAGACAAUACACCUAAUCACAUACUCCGCAAUCUCCCUCUUCAUACCCGGCCAAUAAUAGAAUGGUCGAAUGGUAUGAUACAUUUUAGUUCCUCCUGGGUGCAUAGCAUAAGCCGAACAAUGUGCUUCAUCCAAGAUUUCUUUCUUCAGUUCCUCAUUAUUAGGCACAUACAUCCUGUUCUCUUGCAUAAGCAUACCAUCUGAUCCUCGGAUCUUGAGAUCUUUCUUCUUCCCUUCAUUUCUUAAAUUGAUCAAUUCUUGAAUUUCUUCAUCCAACGAUUGAGCUGCAAGCACCCGAUCAAUUAAAAUUGGCUUGACUUGAAAAUUGGCAAGAAAAGCUUCAUUUUGCUCUUCCAAUUCUAACUCUACUCCAGUAGAUCUCAACUCUGCCAGAAGAGGAACACGACUGGCAUACAAAGCAUUAAGUCGCCCUUGAGGUUUUCUACUCAGAGCAUCAGCUACCACAUUUGCACGACCCGGAUGGUACUCAAUCGUGCAAUCAUAAUCACUUAACAAUUCCAACCAUCUUCUCUGACGAAGAUUAAGAUCAUGCUGAGUGAAAAGGUACUGAAGGCUUUUAUGAUCGGUAAAGAUCUUACAUUUCUCGCCAUAGAGAUAAUGUCUCCAAAUCUUCAAAGCAAACACAAUAGCUGCCAACUCAAGAUCGUGAGUCAGAUAGUUUCUUUCAUGAGUCUUCAACUGCCUAGAAGCAUAGGCAAUCACUCUACUAUGCUGCAUCAAAACACAAUCCAAACCAUUCAAAGAAGCAUCACUGUAGAUCUCGAAGUUACCAUCAUCAUCAGGAAGUACUAACACAGGUGCAUGAGUAAGGCAAUACUUCAACUGCUGGAAACUUUGCUCACAACUUUCAUCCCAUUCAAACUUAACAUCCUUCCUGGUUAACUUCGUUAAUGGCAAGGCAAUCAUAGAAAAGUCUUGAACAAACCGUCUAUAAUAACCUGCCAAACCAAGAAAACUCCGCACCUCAGUGACCGUUCGAGGUUGUUCCCAAUUUUCCACUGCUGCUAUCUUUUGAGGAUCCACUUGAAUUCCCUGAGCUGAUACCACAUGUCCCAAAAAUGCCACUUGAUCCAGCCAAAAUUGACAUUUACUAAAUUUGGCAUAUAACCGGUGUUCCCUCAAUUUCCUUAACACCAAGUUAAGAUGUCGAAUAUGGUCUGAUUCCGACUUAGAAUAUACCAGGAUGUCAUCAAUAAAAACAAUAACAAACUUGUCAAGAUAUUCCUGGAAUACUUCAUUCAUCAAUCUCAUGAAAGCUGCAGGAGCGUUCGUUAAUCCAAAUGGCAUCACCAAAAACUCAUAAUGCCCAUAACGAGUCCUGAAAGCUGUUUUAUGAACAUCCUCAUCUUUAAUCUUUAAUUGAUAAUACCCAGACCUCAAAUCGAUCUUAGAAAACACACAGGCACCUUUGAGCUGAUCAAACAAAUCAUCUAUACGAGGUAAGGGAUAACGGUUUUUAAUCGUCACCCGAUUCAAUUGCCUGUAAUCAAUGCACAAUCUCAAAGUUCCAUCUUUCUUUCUUACAAACAACACUGGAGCUCCCCAAGGUGAAGAACUAGGCUGAAUGAAACCUUUAUCAAUUAACUCUUGCAAUUGAAUUUUCAACUCUCUUAAUUCCGCUGGUGCCAUUCUAUAAGGAGUCAAAGAGAUAGGGUUCGUACCUGGAAGCAAAUCAAUCGAAAAAUUCCACAUCUCUAUCUGGAGGCAACCCAGGUAAAUCAUCUGGAAAUACAUCAGGAUAGUGUCUGACUACUCCGACUUCCUCCACACUACCGGAAUCAACAUCAUUUAACACCACAUGUGCCAAGUAUCCCUGACAACCCUUGGAUAACAACUUCUUUGCCCUUAUGGCUGAAAUAACACCAUGCCUCACCCCACUUCUUUCACCCACAAAUGUAACCUCGGGUAGUCCAGGACGAAGAAAAGUAACUGAUUUCCCGUAACAAUCUAUAUGGGCGCGAUUAUAAUGCAACCAAUCCGCCCCUAAAAUCACAUCAAAAUCCACGAUGUCUAACGGGAUAAGAUUAACAGGCAUAAUGACAUUAUCUACCAUCACUGGACACCCAGAGUAAAAACUAUCAACAUAACAUUUAUCCCCUCUAGGCAUAGCAAACUCUAAAUCAAACCCUAGAGGUGAAGGAUGAGGUUGCGUUAUUUGAGCAAAUGUAUGAGAAAUCACAGAGUGUGUAGCACCACAAUCAAUCAAGACUCUAGCAAAAUGACCAAGAACAUUCAACGUACCCAUAAUCAAGUCUGGAUGGUUCUGAGCAUCUUGCAGCGAGAUGUGGUUCACACGUCCCUGAGCUGGCUGUCAUCCUCCACGACCUCUGCCACUCUGGUUACCUCGUCCCUGAUGAGUACGUCCUUGACCUGCCUGGGCAGGCGGCCUAAACGACCCUGUACUACUAGCAGCAACUCCGCUCUGUUGGGGCUGACCCCCCUGAUACCACUGAGAUCCGCUAGCUGGCAUAGACGGAUAUGAAGUAUAACCUCCUUGAUCCUGAGAAUAUCCACUCUGAAAAUAAGGAUCCUGGGAAUAGUGAUACUGUCCCGGAGCAUAAGGAGCAGCAUCACCCUGAUAGUGAUAAGCACCACCACGACCACCCUGGCCAUAACUGCCUGAAUUAAAGUUCUGUUGAGUCGGUGCUGAUGUUGGCAUAACAGGCUGCUGGGGCCUCUGCUGAUUCUGGGGACAAUACAUAGCUCUAUGUCCUGUCUGACCACAUGUAAAGCAUGCACCACUGCUUCUCCUACAUUCCCCAUGAUGUCGGAAAUUACAACGGCGACAUAACGGAGAACCCGAAUUACCAGCACCACUAAAGCCUCUCUGACCAGAAAAUCUAGGUCCAUUACCAAACCUACCACCUCCUCUCCUCGGACCUGUGGCACUAAAUCCACCACUGGAAGAACUCGAACUCAUUCCACUUUUCUUGAAAUUCUGCAUUUGACGAGGUCCUGGAAUGGAAACACCUUUACCUUUCUCAUUUUUCUUCUGACCAUUACCCUUAUCCUCUUCAUCCUCACUGUCCGGAAGAUUAUCAGAGUCUUCCAUCCGGACCAGAAUCUCAAAAUACUCAUGAUAAUCGGCACAGGGAAGUGCAUUGGCAAACGUUCUGUACUUCUUCUUAGAUCCUAGCUUGAAACGAUGAAGCAUUUCUGCUUGAUUACCCGCUAAAUCAGAAUCAUAACGGGAUAAAUCAGUAAACUUCCUGUAGUACUCAUGUGCAGACAUAUUUCUGCUUCAGACUGGUGAAUUCCUGUUUCUUGCGAUCUAUAUAUUCCGGAGGAACAAAUCUCUUCAUAAAAUUUUCCUUAAAUACCUCCCAUUCGGCUGCCCUUUCAGGUGCCAUGUGCCUCGACUGAUUUAUCCACCACGCAGCUGGCUCACGGCCCAAAAACCAGGUGGUAGUCUCCACCCAUCUAUUAGCUGGCAGGUUUCCCUGACUUUGCAUCACUUGAAAGGUCUGCUCAAUUCGAUCCAACCACUUUUCUGCCCCUUCAUAACCUUCAUUUCCCUCAAAAGUUUCCAAUUUCAUAUUAUACAUCGUCUCUACGGGCGUUCUCUGAGGAGGACGGAUAUUAGCCUGAAAAGCUUGAGCCAUUGCUGCCCCUAACUGAGUUAUAUCGGGGAAAUUAGGCUCAGCAGCACGGCGAGGAUCUCUACGAGGCGGCAUAAUUCUGACAGAAAACAUAACAAAAUCAAUAGAAGAACUCAUUAGUUAUAUAGGACUGCAACCUAUGCUCUGAUACCAAACUGACACACCCUAACCCGAAGACUAGGACGUGCUGGCCGUCACGUGAGUGUGACGUAACCAUAACGCAAGCGGAAACGAUUUAAUAACAAAAUACGAGUCAACGAAAACCACUAAUUUCAGUUAUUUACAACCUAGCAUUCUAUGUGCAUAAGAGUGUACUAAACACACAUAAACAGAGCAUAAGCAUCUAGGUGCAGUCAAGUAGGAACAUAACUAAUUUACAACACCCUCGGGUGAAUCCUACAUUUAUUUAGUCUGUCAGAACGCCGAAGCAGUCCUCGUAGGCCACCAACGCCUCAACUAUCAACUAGAACCUGGAGGGGCGAAAAACAGAAAACGUGAGUGGGCGAAAAUAAGCUUUUCCAAAUCAUUUCAUAAAUCCACAUUUAUAACCCCUUUUUGGAAAACCUGUAUACUUUCCCAGAAAAAUAGUAUAUAUAGCAUAUAUAUAUCUCAACUGUCUCAAUCAUCAAUCUUAUAACAGAUUCAAUAAAGAAUGUACCAUGCCAAUUUCAACAGUUUAGUAUGAAUGCAUUAACAUAAUAUAAUCAGGUAAAAGAAAUAAUCAAUCGGAGGCCCUCUAAUAGCCCUGAACGAUUGAACCUAGAGCUCAACAUCUAUCAAUCUCACUCUCUGCCGGAGUCACUCCGCGUGACCUGUCCGGCCUUCUGCACAUAAGUCGGAACCACCUAAUGUAGUCUGAACGACUCAUGGUAAUAUUCGCUCUAGUGCUUCUCUCAUCAAUCAUCUGUAUACAAUAACCUAAGGUCACCCACCAGUCAUAAUCUCACUAACACUCUACGACUGGCCCGUCGUACCCACUCCGCGUGGACUGUACGACCAGCAUCUACUUGGAUCCAAGGCGAGCGUGCGAUGCGGUGAAUACUAUAAGCACUAAACCAUGGUGCAGGAUAUGAGCUCAAUAUAUCAUCAUCAUCAUCAUAAUAUUAAUUAAAUACUUACCUGUGCUUCCACAGCACCAUCAUACAUAUAUGCAUCAUACGACAGUUCAUAAUAUCCAUAAUAUUCUAUGCAUGGCAAUCACAUCAUAUUUCAUUUCAAUAUACUUUUCAUUUAAAUUUGAUUUCUGGGGAAAUCGAGUAUAUAGGUAUAUAUAUAGAAAGC
Molecule: long non-coding RNA, 7873 nt
Filed under: Malus domestica (apple)
Lineage: Eukaryota; Viridiplantae; Streptophyta; Magnoliopsida; Rosales; Rosaceae
Description: long non-coding RNA (MDOM_LNC003561)
Source: RNAcentral